CACGGAGUUAGCCGGAGCUUAUUCUCCAGGUACUGUCAUUAUCAUCCCUGGUAAAAGAGCUUUACAACCCUAAGGCCUUCAUCACUCACGCGGCAUUGCUGGAUCAGGCUUUCGCCCAUUGUCCAAUAUUCCCCACUGCUGCCUCCCGUAGGAGUCUGGGCCGUGUCUCAGUCCCAGUGUGGCUGAUCAUCCUCUAAGACCAGCUAAGGAUCGUCGCCUUGGUGAGCCUUUACCUCACCAACUAGCUAAUCCUACGCGGGCCCAUCCAAAAGCGAUAAAUCUUUGGUCCGAAGACAUUAUCCGGUAUUAGCAGCAAUUUCUCACUGUUAUUCCGAACUUAAGGGUAGGUUCCCACGCGUUACGCACCCGUGCGCCACUCACCCCGAAGGGUUCGUUCGACUUGCAUGUGUUAGGCAUGCCGCCAGCGUUCAUUCUGAGCCAGGAUCAAACUC
RNAcentral lists this ribosomal RNA (452 nucleotides) under uncultured Sphingomonadales bacterium. RNAcentral describes it as "partial 16S ribosomal RNA". Lineage: Bacteria; Pseudomonadati; Pseudomonadota; Alphaproteobacteria; Sphingomonadales. The record is from RNAcentral.